Molecule: ribosomal RNA, 387 nt
Filed under: Bacillus sp. (in: firmicutes)
Lineage: Bacteria; Bacillati; Bacillota; Bacilli; Caryophanales; Bacillaceae
Description: bacterial SSU rRNA
Rfam family: Bacterial small subunit ribosomal RNA
Source: RNAcentral
ACGCCGCGUGAGUGAUGAAGGCUUUCGGGUCGUAAAACUCUGUUGUUAGGGAAGAACAAGUGCUAGUUGAAUAAGCUGGCACCUUGACGGUACCUAACCAGAAAGCCACGGCUAACUACGUGCCAGCAGCCGCGGUAAUACGUAGGUGGCAAGCGUUAUCCGGAAUUAUUGGGCGUAAAGCGCGCGCAGGUGGUUUCUUAAGUCUGAUGUGAAAGCCCACGGCUCAACCGUGGAGGGUCAUUGGAAACUGGGAGACUUGAGUGCAGAAGAGGAAAGUGGAAUUCCAUGUGUAGCGGUGAAAUGCGUAGAGAUAUGGAGGAACACCAGUGGCGAAGGCGACUUUCUGGUCUGUAACUGACACUGAGGCGCGAAAGCGUGGGGAGCAAA